GAAACACACAGACAGACAGAAACAGACAGAACAACAACACAAUGAAUGUGGACUGGCUUAAUAUACAAACAAACACUAAUGUAACGGAACAUAAAAAGUUGUAAAUGAUGUUAAACCAUAAACUAUGUCACACAAAAUGAAAGUUGUUCAUCAUACAGACAAACACACACCCAAACCAACAGAGACAUAAAAGCGCAGAGUCAUGUAGUGAUGCUGUAAAAACACUCUUUCAGUGAGUCAAUCGGUGUAUUAAUGGCACCUUUACCAUAAACCUGUCCAAUUAUUUCACUAGUGUUGAGUGAUGUCUCUGUGUCUGUAAAUAAACUGACUAUAUGAAGCCAUCUGCUGAAUGUUAUUCCCAUCAAAAUAACACAUGCAACAGAACAUAUGACACAAAUAAAACAGGGCAGAUAAGCCCUUUGAUCGACUCAGCAGUGUGCAAUGACAGAACUGUAACAGCUGCACUUCUGCCAUCCCAACAGAGCACAUGGAAAUUAUAUCAGAUCACCUAAUCAUAUGAACAAUUAAGCUGCUAAAAUAUUUAAUCCUCUAAAAAAGUUUUUUUUUAAGCAGAUAAUGAAAAGAAAAAAGCAGGCCUGCACGAGUUAGGGACUGUUUAUGAGUUCCUCCAAGCCUGGUCUCUACCUUACAUAACUCAGCAUUGCAUAACCAGUUAGUCAGCGGUCUCUGAAGUGGCAAAUCCGAGAUCCAACAGUAGAUAGACAAAUCAGGGCACAGUGUGCUUCGGUGUCUUGUAUACAAGUUGAAUGGGCAUUUCUUCAUCGGUCAAAAACCUGUCAUGACCUCUAUUGUUGGAGAUAGGUUGGACCAGUGGGAAUGAAGAUGUGCACCACACUUUGAGAAAAUAUGGUGAGCUUUGUACUGCAUGUGUGUGUGCGUGUUACCUUGUGUAACCUGAUGAAGUAUUAUCUUACUCCCCCCCUGGACGUACUCUGUCAUCUAACUGUUUUCGUCUUCCUGCUAAAAUAAACCUGAACACAUAAAUACACUUAGACAGCAGAUGCAUGCAUGUAUAUAUCUGUCUGAUCAUCUCAAUGUGUGCAACUCCCAGCCAAACAGAGAUCAGCACUUCCUGCAGCAUCGCUGAGUGAUGAGCACAAGUGUCUGUCAAUCAUCUGAAUCAGUUUACAGACUGACUGCUGUAUACUACUUACAAGCUUUAAAAGAUGAUUCCUGUUCCUACAUUUGGUAAUUAGAACCAGCGAAACUCAAAUAUAUAGUCCUGUUUCCUCACAAACCUUAGCAAAAUUAGUGAUAUGCAUGGCAACAGCAAGGCGACGUCUAAGCAAGGUUGCUAUGAUUACUGUUGCCAGGAAACAUGCCAACAAAUUUAUGAAACUAUAAAUCACUUUGCUACUUGUUCUCAACCUAAACUGCCUAAAACCUGCAUUCUUUAUCUCUACUUGCUGCUGUGAGUAAAACAUGACGAGCUGAAAGAAAAUUAAUAACUUGUACAACUUUAUGUUGUUGCAGGAGAGUGAAGGCCACAUUCCUCCACGCUCUCCCCUCCCCUCUCCGACACCUUCUAAAUGUUACCACCGUCAACAUGCUAAAUCAACUCGGCUCUGCCUUUUGCGUCUCGUUGUAGCCUGUGUCUCCCUCACUCUGCACUUCUAAAGCUUCUCUGUCCAACUUUAUGCCACCUGUUAACUUAUCCAUCAGCCAUAUGAAGAGAAGUUACAAGCUACUGAUCUACAAGCUCUCAUCUCUCAUGUUAAACUACGUCUGAGGCUAGUUGUGAGCUUUUCCCUAUCCUUGUGUGAACAUUUUAGCCUAUCGCUGAAAGAACAUCCUGUCUAAAUAUGAGUUUGAGAAUAGAAGAGCCACAUUUCUGUACCUGCCUUUAUCUGCUAUGUCAAUAUUACAUUCAAUAUUUUACAGUGCUGGUUGACAUAUAAAUAAGACCAAAAAUAAUAACACAUGUACAGUACAACUUUUCAGCAAUGUUUACAACUGCUAGAAUUUUGGUUUAAUAACCAUUUGGAGCUUUGCUGUAUAUUUAAAUGUCAUUUUCCUCUCACUCCUUUUUAGAUUUAAUUUUAUCGGAUUGGCAGUAAAUGUGAUGUGUUUAAACAUGCUACAGCAUGUUGCCUGAGAGAACAGGCAACAUGGUCAAACAUAAGAUUAACUAACAACAACAAUGUGCAGUGCAAACUCACUCAAAUUUUUAUUACAACUAUGGCUGAAGUGCUGCUGUAAUCUCACAAUCUGUAGCUGAUUAUCAAGGAGUGUUUUUAUCUGAACAGGAACAUGGGUCCGUUAAUAAAGGCUAGAUACGCUUGACCUAAUUUCUAGACGUGUUUGUUUAAGUGCAAGUCCAGGGUCGCAGACUUGACAAACACUUUACGUCACAUUACUGUAUGUUAUGUUUCUCUUAUUUCCUUUUACCUGUUUGUUUUUUGUGUUUGUUUGGCAUGUACAGUAUACACAGGGCUCCAGACUGCGACCAUUUAGUUGCAUUUUGCAACAGCGCUACUAAAUUUUAUAACUAGGAGCACCAGUGCAACUUGCAAAUAUUUCCUCCGUUUUUGUUUUGUUUUUUAAAAUCAUCAUCGUAUAUCAUGUGAAAGAAGCCGUAAGACAGACGACAAGAGGGAUAAGAUAAGCAAGGUUUGUGUUUGGUUAGUGGGCUAUUUAGCUAUAUCGUCACAGACUUUUGUGGAAACAUGUAGGGAGCACUAGUGCUACUAAUGAAAAAAGUCUGAGCCCUGAUACUUGUCUGUACAUCCUGUAUAUACAUUCAGUGGUGGUGUCUUGACAGUAUAUGUAAUACGUUAAUCACUGUAUAGACCUUGAGAAGUUUGACACCAAGUGCCCUGAACCCAGUGACCCCAGCUUAUUGAGGGAGUGGUAGGUUCCAGUUAGACUAAAGAUUAUAAGGUUAAGACAAGUUUCCAGAACUUUACCAACUCAAUUUAAUGUCACAUUACUAGCACAAACAUUUUUUUUUUUUUUUUACACUUUGUGGCAUCAUGUAGCUAACUAACCAAAGAGAUGAUUUUCUCUUGUGUUCUCUAUUCACAAAUAUUAACUUAGGGGUAGGUUCAAUUAAGACUCAUUUGCUCUAUAUACUAGAAUGAGUUUUUUUUUUUUUUAUUUACUGACUUUUGCUGAGAAACUGCACAGACUAAACUGAAUGUAUCCACAGAAAAAGACAGAAAA
Molecule: long non-coding RNA, 3183 nt
Organism: Siniperca chuatsi (mandarin fish)
Lineage: Eukaryota; Metazoa; Chordata; Actinopteri; Centrarchiformes; Sinipercidae
Exons: 2
Source: RefSeq, a predicted model, not a curated record